GUCCCUGCAGCGCUAUGGAUAGCGCGUUGGACUUCUAAUCCAAAUGUCGUGGGUUCGAAUUCCCCUUGGGAUG
This 73-nucleotide transfer RNA is filed under the name Trichonephila clavata. It matches the Rfam family "tRNA". From Rfam's summary of the family: Transfer RNA (tRNA) molecules are approximately 80 nucleotides in length. Their secondary structure includes four short double-helical elements and three loops (D, anti-codon, and T loops). Lineage: Eukaryota; Metazoa; Arthropoda; Arachnida; Araneae; Nephilidae. The record is from Rfam by way of RNAcentral.